Non-coding RNA from Monodelphis domestica (gray short-tailed opossum), 2579 nucleotides. The record is from RefSeq and is a predicted model, not a curated record. NCBI's taxonomy places the organism in Eukaryota, Metazoa, Chordata, Mammalia, Didelphimorphia, Didelphidae.
ACAACGUGUCAUCAAAUUCCACGAUGCUGCUGAUGCAAACAGACUGUGAUGUACAGGAAGGAGAAGGAACACAAGGCAGCUAUCCCAUCAGUCAAUUAACAAAUUGGGUAUGUCCAAGACACACUACCAUGCUAGCAGCUUGAAGAAAGAUCCUGAAACAACCAAAUGGCUUCUUUUUAAGCACAGAUAUCAUUGUAAUGACAGCUUCUGAGCUGUGAGAAAGGGAGAAAAAUAAGCUAUGGAGAAUAAAAUGAGGAGAAAUGAAUCUGUGGAUCAAGCAAACUGAAUUGAAAGGGGAAAAGUCAGCCAUUACAAAGCCAGUUUUGUGAUUGGAUGGAUGCCUGACACCAGCCCGAUGGUUAUGACAGUGAACAUUAUGAUGUUGCAAAAAUUGUGCUCCCACCACUAGUCCAACGUGUAUCGACAAAGUUCAGUGCAGUAAGUACAAAUCUUGGGUUCUUUUAGAAAUAGUUAUAUCGCUCCAUAUUUAUCUUAUACCUGGUCCUCCUCACUUGUGUCUACCUUUUAAAAUUCUACCCUUCCUUUUCAGCCCGGUCAAAUAUAAUUUCCUUUUUUUAUGGAGACUUUCCUGAUGUCUUCAAGUCAGGAACUGAUUUUUGAUCCUUCCUCUCUCAGACCAUACAGAGCAUGUGGCUUACGAUGACAGUUUAUGCUUCAUAAAUGCUUAGAAAUUCUUUUCAUCUCCAAUUUUUUUGCUAACCUAGCAUGGUAUGGUGGAUAGAAUGAAGAAAAUCUAAAUUAAAACCUCUCCUCUGAUACUUACUGCUCUUUGACCUUCCACAAGACACAUAAUGUCCAGCCCUUAGUUUCCUAAUCGAUAAAAUGAGAUUAGAUGACCCGUGAGGUCCCUUUCAACGUUCGACCAAUGAUGUGUGUCUGAAUUAGUCAUCUCUACAUAUGUUUUAUCCUCUCCUAGACUCUAAUCUGUUUAAGGGUAGGAGUUGCCUCUUUCUAACUCCACUUGGUGAUUACGCAGGGUAUGCUACAUAAUGGAUAUUUAAGAAACAUUUCUGUAGGUUUGUAUCCACUUGAGAUAGUCAAAGAACAGAAAUUCUGUUAUUAACAAAACUAGGAAUGCGCACGCUCUAUAUAAAGGGAUAAUUUUUUAACAGAUUGAUAGAGAGUUGGUCUGAGACUCCAACUACUAACAAAUACUGGAAAAGUCCACCCUGGAAAAGUCAUUAAGCAUCUCAGUACUCCCAGGAAACUCUAAGAUGAUUCCAAUUUAUGUGCCAACAUCUAUUACAAAGAGUUAUGUAGAAAACUUUUAUGAGGAACUUGGUAAGAUUCUGCAAACCAAAUGAGCAUAUACCUUGAUAUUUUGGGACUUUGAUAAAAGGGUAAGAAUAGGAGAGGACAGUGAAAAAUAUGUUAGAAAAUCUGUGUGUGUGGGUGCGCAGACUUGUGCUUUCUUUGGUAGAGUGAACAAUGCAACUGGCACCCAUCUAUGACUUAGAGUCUUAGAAAGUUUCCAGGGGACACUGAGAGAUUAAAAGACUUUCUGAUGGUCAGACAGUUUGUGUCAGGACUUGAACUCAGGCAUUCCAAGGAUUCACCCAUCAUGAGGUAAAUGAUCUCAUUAGGCAUCAGGGCAUUUUUUUAUACUCAUUAACAUUCCAUGAAAUUUUGCCAGUGCUGGGGGCUUUAUCUGAAUCUUUUAAGGAGAGGGUGCAGAAUUUGGGCUGCCCAUCUGUUAUCAACUAUUCUUAUUACUUUAUCAACACAUUUAGUAAUGAAAAUGGUCAAAGAUGUUUGUGUUACACAGGGCCCUCAAAUCUAUAUGCUGUGAUUAUUUCUUAUUUAUUUAGUUUUCAAUUAAUUUUUUUUUAAUUCAUUAGGUGCAAAAUUCAAAUAGUUUCUACCAGGAGGGAAUAAAAGGAAUGGAAGUCCCCGACCCUCUACCCUCGUUAUGUCUCUAUAAUAGAAUGUUUUGCAGCUGAAGGUCCUUGUCUAAUUCUUUGAUAUUGCCAUCAUGUUGACUCUUUGUGACCCCAUUUGGGGUUUUCUUAGCAAAGAUAAUGAAAUCGUUUGCAAUUUCUUUCUUCAGCCCAGUUUAGAGAUGAGGAAAUUGGAGUAAACAAGUUACACAGCUAUUAGAAUCUGAGGCCAAAUUUGAACUCAGGUUUUACUGACUCCAGGGCUGGCUCUCUAUCCACUGUGCCUCCUAGCUGUUCAGUGGAACUACCACAGUGGAUCUUUUAAAGCCUCAUUGAAAUACAAGAAUGCGGAAAUGGAACUCUGGAGUGUGAGGUUGCAAAUAGUCACUGACCUACCAUGUACUUGGGUGUAAAGUUUCUUAACUCAUAAGUCAUCUAGUCCAAACUUCUAUUUUUAUUGAUGAUGAUGAUUGAGCCCAAAGAUAUUAAGUGACACAGAUAUACAAAGAUGACAAAAAUAUUAAUAAAUUAAUAAAAAUUAGUAUACACUCGGUGGUAGGCUGGUUGUAAAAAUCAGCUGUCAAAAAAGUAUACUUUAAAACUUAAUCUUCUUUAACACUUUCUUAAGUAUAGAUAAUCAAUAAAAUAAUAACAAAAUAACUCGAGCCUUGAUUUAUUAAU